RNAcentral lists this ribosomal RNA (491 nucleotides) under uncultured bacterium. RNAcentral describes it as "partial 16S ribosomal RNA". It matches the Rfam family "Bacterial small subunit ribosomal RNA", at positions 29 to 506 of the family's 1533-position model. The record is from RNAcentral.
AGUGAACGCUGGCGGUAGGCCUAGCACAUGCAAGUCGAACGGCAGCACAGUAAGAGCUUGCUCUUACGGGUGGCGAGUGGCGGACGGGUGAGGAAUACAUCGGAAUCUACUUUUUCGUGGGGGAUAACGUGGGGAAACUUACGCUAAUACCGCAUACGACCUACGGGUGAAAGCAGGGGAUCUUCGGACCUUGCGCGAUUGAAUGAGCCGAUGUCGGAUUAGCUAGUUGGCGGGGUAAAGGCCCACCAAGGCGACGAUCCGUAGCUGGUCUGAGAGGAUGAUCAGCCACAUUGGAACUGAGACACGGACCCGACUCCUACGGGAGGCAGCAGGGGGGAAUUUUGGACAAGGGGCGCAAGCCUGACCCAGCCAUACCGGGGGGGGGAAGAAGGCCUUCGGGUUUUAAAGCCCUUUUGUGGGGAAAAAAAAGCAGCAGGUUAAUACCCCGCUGUUCGGACGGUACCCAAAGAAUAAGCACCGGCUAACUUCGU